AAACCGUUCAGGGGUAAACCUGAGAAACCCGAAAGUUCGAAAGGAGAGAUUCAUCGCGACUCGCGUUUGUCGUCGAGUUCGUGUACGGACGUCACUGUGCGCAAGCAUAACGUCGACGCCGAACGCGUUCUCGUUAUCGACACGCGAUCGCGUGCACUUCUCUCCCUGUAGGACGUCGCGACCCGUUGGGUGUCGGUCUACGGACGAUAGUGAAGACCGCGCGACGAACGUAAUUUUUUAAUUGCGUUUUCGUUUGUGCGGGCCUGUCGCUCCCGGCCGACUCGCUCGACGGUAAUCGAAAAGGGCGCGGGGCCGCAACUUAGUUUGCGUUCGACCCGUCGCAAGCGACGUUCGGUAAUUCGGUGCAGUCCAGCGACCUCCGGUUGCCGGUCCCGAAUCCGAACUACUGUUAGCGACGUGGUUCUCGGACAGACUCCGUACACACGCCCGUCGGCGACGAUUACGUUUUGGGUACUUUCAGGACCCGUCUUGAAACACGGACCAAGGAGUCUAGCAUGCACGCAAGUCUUAGGGACCAGUCUCGCGACGAAUCCUGAAGGCGCAAUGAAAGUGAAGGUCCGCCCUCUGGCGCGCGAUCUAGGGAAGAUGAGAAGCCCUUCCACAGGCGACUCCGCAUUCCCGGGGCGUCUCAAUCUCAACGCGAGAUAAGGCGCACCCAGAGCGUGCACGCU
Molecule: ribosomal RNA, 692 nt
Filed under: Baconia tuberculifer
Lineage: Eukaryota; Metazoa; Arthropoda; Insecta; Coleoptera; Histeridae
Description: eukaryotic LSU rRNA
Rfam family: Eukaryotic large subunit ribosomal RNA
Source: RNAcentral